GACGAACGCUGACGGCGUGCUUAACACAUGCAAGUCGAACGGAAAGGCCCUGCUUUUGUGGGGUGCUCGAGUGGCGAACGGGUGAGUAACACGUGAGUAACCUGCCCUUGACUUUGGGAUAACUUCAGGAAACUGGGGCUAAUACCGGAUAGGAGCUCCUGCUGCAUGGUGGGGGUUGGAAAGUUUCGGCGGUUGGGGAUGGACUCGCGGCUUAUCAGCUUGUUGGUGGGGUAGUGGCUUACCAAGGCUUUGACGGGUAGCCGGCCUGAGAGGGUGACCGGCCACAUUGGGACUGAGAUACGGCACAGACUCCUACGGGAGGCAGCAGUGGGGAAUAGUGCACAAUGGGCGGAAGCCUGAUGCAGCAACGCCGCGUGCGGGAUGACGGCCUUCGGGUUGUAAACCGCUUUCGCCUGUGACGAAGCGUGAGUGACGGUAAUGGGUAAAGAAGCACCGGCUAACUACGUG
RNAcentral lists this ribosomal RNA (468 nucleotides) under uncultured bacterium. RNAcentral's name for it is "partial 16S ribosomal RNA". It matches the Rfam family "Bacterial small subunit ribosomal RNA", at positions 28 to 507 of the family's 1533-position model. The record is from RNAcentral.